AUCCUUCGGUUCAUAAGUGUGAUGAUUGGGUAUUCAAGCCAUAUGCAUGAAACGAGCCUCCCUCAAACCUUGUUACCACAUGGGCACAUUACCUCUCGUGAGA
Octodon degus (degu) is the source of this 103-nucleotide small nucleolar RNA. RefSeq annotates it as small nucleolar RNA U13. The transcript has a single exon. The record is from RefSeq and is a predicted model, not a curated record. NCBI's taxonomy places the organism in Eukaryota, Metazoa, Chordata, Mammalia, Rodentia, Octodontidae.